CUCCAUGGACUUUCUAGACCGGCCUUGGUAAAUUUAGAGGUUUUUUUAGAAACUCUAAGUUUACCUAGGUUGGUGUUUUAGGUGCCAAAAUUAAUUCUAAGAAAAUUACAAAUAAAGUUCCUAUGCUAAUUUUGACAAGAAAUUAAAGUUUACUCUACACUAGAGUUUAUGGCAUUUGAACAUGUAAAAGAACGUCUUCUUGG
RNAcentral lists this long non-coding RNA (203 nucleotides) under Phaseolus vulgaris (common bean). RNAcentral's name for it is "long non-coding RNA (PVUL_LNC004360)". Lineage: Eukaryota; Viridiplantae; Streptophyta; Magnoliopsida; Fabales; Fabaceae. The record is from RNAcentral.